Molecule: unclassified non-coding RNA, 289 nt
Filed under: uncultured fungus
Lineage: Eukaryota; Fungi
Description: partial contains 5.8S rRNA, ITS2 and 28S rRNA
Rfam family: Eukaryotic large subunit ribosomal RNA
Source: RNAcentral
AAGGAGUCUAACAUCUAUGCGAGUGUUUGGGUGUCAAACCCCUACGCAUAAUGAAAGUGAACGGAGGUGAGAACCGCAAGGUGCAUCAUCGACCGAUCCUGAUGUCUUCGGAUGGAUUUGAGUAUGAGCAUAGCUGUUGGGACCCGAAAGAUGGUGAACUAUGCCUGAAUAGGGUGAAGCCAGAGGAAACUCUGGUGGAGGCUCGCAGCGGUUCUGACGUGCAAAUCGAUCGUCAAGUUUGGGUAUAGGGGCGAAAGACUAAUCGAACCAUCUAGUAGCUGGUUCCUGC